Molecule: ribosomal RNA, 252 nt
Filed under: uncultured bacterium
Lineage: Bacteria
Description: partial 16S ribosomal RNA
Rfam family: Bacterial small subunit ribosomal RNA
Source: RNAcentral
UACGUAGGGGGCAAGCGUUGUCCGGAAUUAUUGGGCGUAAAGAGCGCGUAGGCGGUCCGAUAAGUCGGCUGUGAAAGUCAGGGGCUCAACCCUUGGAAGCCGGCCGAUACUGUCGGACUAGAGUCCGGAAGAGGCGAGUGGAAUUCCGGUGUAGCGGUGAAAUGCGCAGAUAUCGGGAGGAACACCAAUGGCGAAGGCAGCUCGCUGGGACGGUACUGACGCUGAGGCGCGAAAGCGUGGGGAGCAAACAGG